RNAcentral lists this ribosomal RNA (403 nucleotides) under uncultured bacterium. RNAcentral describes it as "partial 16S ribosomal RNA". It matches the Rfam family "Bacterial small subunit ribosomal RNA", at positions 28 to 526 of the family's 1533-position model. The record is from RNAcentral.
GACGAACGCUGGCGGCGUGCCUAAUACAUGCAAGUCGAACGCAGUGGGGACGGGUGAGUAACACGUGGGUAACCUCCCAUCAGAGGGGAUAACCCUUGGAAACAGGUGCUAAUCCGAUACUGCAGGAUGGACCCGCGGUGCAUUAGCUAGUUGGGGAGGUAACGGCUGACCAAGGCCACGAUGCAUAGGCGACCUGAGAGGGUGAUCGGCCACACUGGGACUGAGACACGGCCCAGACUCCUACGGGAGGCAGCAGUAGGGAAUCGUCGGCAAUGGACGAAAGUCUGACCGAGCAACGCCGCGGGAGUGAAGAAGGUUUUCGGAUCGUAAAACUCUGUUGUUAGAGAAGCGGUAUCUAACCAGAAAGCCACGGCUAACUACGUGCCAGCCGCCGCGGUAAUUC